This 201-nucleotide ribosomal RNA is filed under the name uncultured bacterium. RNAcentral's name for it is "partial 16S ribosomal RNA". It matches the Rfam family "Bacterial small subunit ribosomal RNA", at positions 1300 to 1500 of the family's 1533-position model. The record is from RNAcentral.
GCAGGCUGCAACUCGCCUGCAUGAAGUCGGAAUUGCUAGUAAUCGUAGGUCAGCAUACUACGGUGAAUACGUUCCCGGGCCUUGUACACACCGCCCGUCAAACCAUGAGAGUUGGCAACACCCGAAGUCGGUAGUCUAACCGCAAGGAGGACGCCGCCGAAGGUGGGGUUGAUGAUUAGGGUUAAGUCGUAACAAGGUAAC